This 497-nucleotide ribosomal RNA is filed under the name uncultured bacterium. RNAcentral's name for it is "partial 16S ribosomal RNA". It matches the Rfam family "Bacterial small subunit ribosomal RNA", at positions 28 to 507 of the family's 1533-position model. The record is from RNAcentral.
GACGAACGCUGGCGGCGUGCCUAAUACAUGCAAGUUGAGCGAUGAAGAUUGGUGCUUGCACCAAUUUGAAGAGCAGCGAACGGGUGAGUAACGCGUGGGGAAUCUGCCUUUGAGCGGGGGACAACAUUUGGAAACGAAUGCUAAUACCGCAUAACAACUUUAAACAUAAGUUUUAAGUUUGAAAGAUGCAAUUGCAUCACUCAAAGAUGAUCCCGCGUUGUAUUAGCUAGUUGGUGAGGUAAAGGCUCACCAAGGCGAUGAUACAUAGCCGACCUGAGAGGGUGAUCGGCCACAUUGGGACUGAGACACGGCCCAAACUCCUACGGGAGGCAGCAGUAGGGAAUCUUCGGCAAUGGACGAAAGUCUGACCGAGCAACGCCGCGUGAGUGAAGAAGGUUUUCGGAUCGUAAAACUCUGUUGGUAGAGAAGAACGUUGGUGAGAGUGGAGAGCUCAUAAAGUGACGGUAACUACCCAGAAAGGGACGGCUAACUACGUG